Molecule: ribosomal RNA, 253 nt
Filed under: uncultured bacterium
Lineage: Bacteria
Description: partial 16S ribosomal RNA
Rfam family: Bacterial small subunit ribosomal RNA
Source: RNAcentral
UACGAAGGGGGCUAGCGUUGCUCGGAAUGACUGGGCGUAAAGGGCGCGUAGGCGGAUGGCACAGUCAGAUGUGAAAUUCCUGGGCUUAACCUGGGGGCUGCAUUUGAUACGUGUGAUCUGGAGUGAGGAAGAGGGUUGUGGAAUUCCCAGUGUAGAGGUGAAAUUCGUAGAUAUUGGGAAGAACACCGGUGGCGAAGGCGGUCUGCUGGGCAGUAGCUGACACUGAGGCGCGACAGCGUGGGGAGCAAACAGG